CAUCAAGCUUUCUUCAGGAAAUUCGUGGAGAAUCAAAGGUUUUGGGGUGAAAGGAAGUCUUCUUCUUUAAGGUAUCAUUUGAGCAUGAGAAUGGUUGUUGAUUGUGAGUUUAGAGUGAAAAUUAAAGUUGUGCAGGCAAUGGACGAACUGAUGCAAACAAUGCCUGGUACGACUUGACGCACAACCUAUUGUUUCGUGUGUGGUUCGGUUUGGUUCGCUCCUUUGUUCGAUGUAGGAUCAAGGAUGCAUUCCAGAGGGUUUAAUAAAUUCGUUUAAUUCAGGUAUUGGGUUUUAGCUUUAGUAGCCGUUAGGACGUGUGGUGGUGAGUCGAGCACCAAGUGAGUUCCCUUGCCCUUUUCUAAUUGUGGAACUGUUUACUAUUGUUUUUAAAAGCUCUGAUUAUGGUUUUUAUAACGUGGCAUUUAAAUGAUUACUCGUUAAAGCAUUAUUUAUCACAUGUGAUAAUGUUUGUCGUUACUUGUUUGGGCAUGUACAGUAAGAUUAGUGUACCUUGAGAUAGUGGAAUCCCUUGGGAGUAU
Cynara cardunculus var. scolymus (artichoke) is the source of this 539-nucleotide long non-coding RNA. RefSeq lists it as uncharacterized. The record is from RefSeq and is a predicted model, not a curated record. NCBI's taxonomy places the organism in Eukaryota, Viridiplantae, Streptophyta, Magnoliopsida, Asterales, Asteraceae. The transcript has 2 exons.